This 233-nucleotide long non-coding RNA is filed under the name Elaeis guineensis (African oil palm). RNAcentral's name for it is "long non-coding RNA (EGUI_LNC048500)". Lineage: Eukaryota; Viridiplantae; Streptophyta; Magnoliopsida; Arecales; Arecaceae. The record is from RNAcentral.
CAUACCUAGAGUCAUAUUCGGGAUGCAGGUUGAUCGCAGGAUCAAAUUGCACGGUAACCUUUCACUGAAGGAUAUUUUUGAUACUUUUAUCAAAAUUAUAUAUCUUUCAGAUAGACAUGAUACAUUACUAGAUAUCAAUCUUGUCUUAUGGGUUUGAUCAAAUUAAAGAGUUUAAUUCGAUCAUCAAUUAGAAAAAAUUCUAAUUGCUAAAAUCGAAUUAGCUCGAUUGGACA